This is a non-coding RNA of Soboliphyme baturini, 114 nucleotides long. Lineage: Eukaryota; Metazoa; Nematoda; Enoplea; Dioctophymatida; Soboliphymatidae. The record is from Rfam.
GUUGGUUACGGAGACCUGGUGCCUAUUGGACCCCUUGGCAAGUUGGUUGGGUCUCUAUGCACAAUAGUCGGUGUGUUGGUGCUUGCGCUUCCGGUGCCGGUCAUUGUGGCAAAC